Molecule: transfer RNA, 73 nt
Filed under: Felis catus (domestic cat)
Lineage: Eukaryota; Metazoa; Chordata; Mammalia; Carnivora; Felidae
Rfam family: tRNA
About the family: Transfer RNA (tRNA) molecules are approximately 80 nucleotides in length.
Source: Rfam by way of RNAcentral
ACCCGGCUGGCUCAGUUGGUAGAGCAUGUGACCCUUGAUCUCAGGGUUGUGAGUUCAAGCCCCAUAAUGGGUG